AUGGUGCCCGUGGAUCCUGCUAUUCACCUGCAUCCAUGGUCCUCUAUGUCCUGUGGCGGCCGCCAUGGUUGUUCACUUGUCCCGGCCCUGGUGGCCGCGACAAAUGGCAUCUUCUUCCAGACCAGCGACAGCAAGCCAAGCCAGGGCAGGGUUGCCUUGCCGUUGCCGACUUGGAGCCUUCUGGAGCUUAAGGCUCAUCCAUGCCGAGCUAUGCGCUUCCUUCCAGCAGCAAUAUUCCCGUCCUGCCGCAAGACGCCGAGAAUGGCAGCCGGCAUGCAGGCCUGUGCGUUAUCGGACCGGCCGGCCACCCACUGA
RNAcentral lists this ribosomal RNA (315 nucleotides) under Triticum aestivum (bread wheat). RNAcentral's name for it is "partial small subunit ribosomal RNA". The record is from RNAcentral. Lineage: Eukaryota; Viridiplantae; Streptophyta; Magnoliopsida; Poales; Poaceae.